GGGGAUGUGGCUCAGUGACAAAGCAUCUGCUUGGCAUGCAGAAAGUCCCAGGUUCAAUGCCCAGCAUCUCCA
RNAcentral lists this transfer RNA (72 nucleotides) under Sphaerodactylus townsendi. RNAcentral's name for it is "tRNA-Ala". It matches the Rfam family "tRNA". Rfam says of the family: Transfer RNA (tRNA) molecules are approximately 80 nucleotides in length. Their secondary structure includes four short double-helical elements and three loops (D, anti-codon, and T loops). The record is from RNAcentral. Lineage: Eukaryota; Metazoa; Chordata; Lepidosauria; Squamata; Sphaerodactylidae.